UCCCAGAGCUUAACUCUGGAACUGCCAUUAAAACUUUUNAGCUAGAGUNUGAUAGAGGAAAGCAGAAUUUCUAGUGUAGAGGUGAAAUUCGUAGAUAUUAGANNGAAUACCAAUUGCGAAGGCAGCUUUCUGGAUCAUUACUGACANUGAGGAACGAAAGCAUGGGUAGCGAAGAGGAUUAGAUACCCUCGUAGUCCAUGCCGUAAACGAUGUGUGUUAGACGUUGGAAAUUUAUUUUCAGUGUCGCAGGGAAACCGAUAAACACACCGCCUGGGGAGUACGACCGCAAGGUUAAAACUCAAAUGAAUUGACGGGGACCCGCACAAGUAGUGGAGCAUGUGGUUUAAUUCGAAGCAACGCGCAGAACCUUACCAACCCUUGACAUGCCUGGACAAUCCGAGAGAUCGGACUUUCCUUCGGGACCAGUGCACAGGUGCUGCAUGGCNGUCGUCAGCUCGUGUCGUGAGAUGUUGGGUUAAGUCCCGCAACGAGCGCAACCCUCACUUUUAGUUGCCAUCAUUAAGUUGGGCACUCUGANAGAACUGCCAGUGNUAAGCUGGAGGAANGUGGGGAUGACGUCAAGUCCUCAUGGCCCUUACGUGUUGGGCUACACACGUGCUACAAUGGUAUCUACAACAGGAAGCAAGACUGCGAAGUUAAGCAAAUCCCUAAAAGAUACCUCAGUUCGGAUUGCACUCUGCAACUCGAGUGCAUGAAGCUGGAAUUACUAGUAAUCGUAGAUCAGCGUGCUACGGUGAAUGCGUUCCCGGGUCUUGUACACACCGCCCGUCACACCA
This 797-nucleotide ribosomal RNA is filed under the name uncultured Pelagibacterales bacterium. Its description in RNAcentral is "SSU rRNA". It matches the Rfam family "Bacterial small subunit ribosomal RNA", at positions 600 to 1404 of the family's 1533-position model. The record is from RNAcentral. Lineage: Bacteria; Pseudomonadati; Pseudomonadota; Alphaproteobacteria; Candidatus Pelagibacterales.